CCUACGGGUGGCAGCAGUGGGGAAUAUUGGACAAUGGGCGAAAGCCUGAUCCAGCCAUGCCGCGUGUGUGAAGAAGGCCUUCGGGUUGUAAAGCACUUUCAGUGGGGAAGAAAGCCUUGGGGCUAAUACCCUCGAGGAAGGACAUCACCCACAGAAGAAGCACCGGCUAACUCCGUGCCAGCAGCCGCGGUAAUACGGAGGGUGCGAGCGUUAAUCGGAAUUACUGGGCGUAAAGCGCGCGUAGGCGGUCUGAUAAGCCGGUUGUGAAAGCCCCGGGCUCAACCUGGGAACGGCAUCCGGAACUGUCAGGCUAGAGUGCAGGAGAGGAAGGUAGAAUUCCCGGUGUAGCGGUGAAAUGCGUAGAGAUCGGGAGGAAUACCAGUGGCGAAGGCGGCCUUCUGGACUGACACUGACGCUGAGGUGCGAAAGCGUGGGUAGCAAACAGGAUUAGACACCCGAGUAGUC
Molecule: ribosomal RNA, 465 nt
Filed under: Vreelandella stevensii
Lineage: Bacteria; Pseudomonadati; Pseudomonadota; Gammaproteobacteria; Oceanospirillales; Halomonadaceae
Description: partial 16S ribosomal RNA
Rfam family: Bacterial small subunit ribosomal RNA
Source: RNAcentral